This 1169-nucleotide ribosomal RNA is filed under the name Vibrio parahaemolyticus. Its description in RNAcentral is "bacterial SSU rRNA". It matches the Rfam family "Bacterial small subunit ribosomal RNA", at positions 299 to 1474 of the family's 1533-position model. The record is from RNAcentral. Lineage: Bacteria; Pseudomonadati; Pseudomonadota; Gammaproteobacteria; Vibrionales; Vibrionaceae.
GAUGAUCAGCCACACUGGAACUGAGAACACGUCAGACUCUACGGGAGGCAGCAGUGGGAUAUGCACAAUGGGCGCAAGCUGAUGCAGCAUGCCGCGUGUGUGAAGAAGCUCGGGUGUAAAGCACUUUCAGUCGUGAGGAAGGUAGUGUAGUUAAUAGCUGCAUUAUUUGACGUUAGCGACAGAAGAAGCACCGGCUAACUCCGUGCCAGCAGCCGCGGUAAUACGGAGGGUGCGAGCGUUAAUCGGAAUUACUGGGCGUAAAGCGCAUGCAGGUGGUUUGUUAAGUCAGAUGUGAAAGCCCGGGGCUCAACCUCGGAAUUGCAUUUGAAACUGGCAGACUAGAGUACUGUAGAGGGGGGUAGAAUUUCAGGUGUAGCGGUGAAAUGCGUAGAGAUCUGAAGGAAUACCGGUGGCGAAGGCGGCCCCCUGGACAGAUACUGACACUCAGAUGCGAAAGCGUGGGGAGCAAACAGGAUUAGAUACCCUGGUAGUCCACGCCGUAAACGAUGUCUACUUGGAGGUUGUGGCCUUGAGCCGUGGCUUUCGGAGCUAACGCGUUAAGUAGACCGCCUGGGGAGUACGGUCGCAAGAUUAAAACUCAAAUGAAUUGACGGGGGCCCGCACAAGCGGUGGAGCAUGUGGUUUAAUUCGAUGCAACGCGAAGAACCUUACCUACUCUUGACAUCCAGAGAACUUUCCAGAGAUGGAUUGGUGCCUUCGGGAACUCUGAGACAGGUGCUGCAUGGCUGUCGUCAGCUCGUGUUGUGAAAUGUUGGGUUAAGUCCCGCAACGAGCGCAACCCUUAUCCUUGUUUGCCAGCGAGUAAUGUCGGGAACUCCAGGGAGACUGCCGGUGAUAAACCGGAGGAAGGUGGGGACGACGUCAAGUCAUCAUGGCCCUUACGAGUAGGGCUACACACGUGCUACAAUGGCGCAUACAGAGGGCGGCCAACUUGCGAAAGUGAGCGAAUCCCAAAAAGUGCGUCGUAGUCCGGAUUGGAGUCUGCAACUCGACUCCAUGAAGUCGGAAUCGCUAGUAAUCGUGGAUCAGAAUGCCACGGUGAAUACGUUCCCGGGCCUUGUACACACCGCCCGUCACACCAUGGGAGUGGGCUGCAAAAGAAGUAGGUAGUUUAACCUUCGGGGGGACGCUUACCACUUGGUUCGUGC